Molecule: long non-coding RNA, 1005 nt
Filed under: Parus major (Great Tit)
Lineage: Eukaryota; Metazoa; Chordata; Aves; Passeriformes; Paridae
Description: lncRNA (ENSPMJG00000012704.1)
Source: RNAcentral
AUGGGACCCCCUAGAUCACCUAUCCCCUCCUCCUGCAUACCCAAUAGCACCCCAGACUUCUUCCCCCAAUUCUCUGACUUUUUCCUCUUCUGCAUCACCCCCGCUAGACCCUUGUAUUUCCAAUCCAAACCCUUUCCACCCGAACCAAUCCCCAUCUACGUCUUCAGCCUCCUCUACCAUCCCGAUACCCUUUUCCUCACCCCACCACCGUUGGUGGCCCCAGUCCCUUCUAAUCUACUUGUUACCUCUCCCUUACCUCCAGAAACCCCUAUAUCAGACCAAGUUUCUUCUCCCUCGCCUACUACUGUCCCUUUGCCCCCUCCCAACUGGGAGCUGAGUACCCCCAAAGUUAAUACCAAUCCUCCUCCUAACAACCAGCAGCUCCCUAUGACCUACACCUCUAGUCAGGAACAGAAUCUUGGAGAUGGACUCUACUGUCGCACACGAUCUAAGACAACUAAGCUCCUUCCCCUGAGAGAAGUCCCUAUGGGAGGAGUAGCUGGAGGGGUAGGGUUUGUCAAUGCGCCAUUGACAGCUUCAGAAGUCCGGGGAUUUAAGAAAGAGCUAGGGAACCUAGUUGAAGACCCAGUAGGGAUAGCCAACCAGGUAGACCAGUUCCUGGGUCCAAAUACUUACACCUGGGGGGAGUUAAACUCUAUUUUAAACAUCUUAUUUAACCCUGAAGAGGUCGCCAUGAUCCAUACUGCAGGGAUACAAAUCUGGGAAAGGGAGAAUAGAUCGGGACUCCCAGGAGAGUAUAAGCUCCCACAGGUAGAUCCAGGGUGGGAUCCUAACAGGGAGGAGGGAAGGCGGAACAUGAGGGACUGCAGGUCCCUAAUAGUGAAGGGUAUUAAGGAAUCAGUUCCCCCGGGUAAUAACACAAAACUAGCCUUUGAUGGGACCCAGGAGAAGGAUGAGACUCCAGCCACCUGGUUGAAUAGGUUGAGGAGAAACUUUCAACUAUAUUCAUGGAUCCCGACAGUCCUGAGGGCCAGGUACUAUUAA